This 424-nucleotide ribosomal RNA is filed under the name Fusobacteriota bacterium. Its description in RNAcentral is "Fusobacteria bacterium partial 16S ribosomal RNA". It matches the Rfam family "Bacterial small subunit ribosomal RNA", at positions 355 to 776 of the family's 1533-position model. Lineage: Bacteria; Fusobacteriati; Fusobacteriota. The record is from RNAcentral.
UGAGGAAUAUUGGUCAAUGGGCGAGAGCCUGAACCAGCCAAGUCGCGUGAAGGAAGACAGUCCUAAGGAUUGUAAACUUCUUUUAUACGGGAAUAACGGGCGAUACGAGUAUGGCAUUGAAUGUACCGUAAGAAUAAGCAUCGGCUAACUCCGUGCCAGCAGCCGCGGUAAUACGGAGGAUGCGAGCGUUAUCCGGAUUUAUUGGGUUUAAAGGGUGCGUAGGUUGUUCGGUAAGUCAGCGGUGAAACCUGAGCGCUCAACGUUCAGCCUGCCGUUGAAACUGCCGGGCUUGAGUUCAGUGGCGGCAGGCGGAAUUCGUGGUGUAGCGGUGAAAUGCAUAGAUAUCACGAGGAACUCCGAUUGCGAAGGCAGCUUGCCAUACUGCGACUGACACUGAAGCACGAAGGCGUGGGUAUCAAACAGG